GCAGUCGCCGCGGUAAUACAGAGGGUGCGAGCGUUAAUCGGAUUUACUGGGCGUAAAGCGUGCGUAGGCGGCUUUUUAAGUCGGAUGUGAAAUCCCUGAGCUUAACUUAGGAAUUGCAUUCGAUACUGGGAAGCUAGAGUAUGGGAGAGGAUGGUAGAAUUCCAGGUGUAGCGGUGAAAUGCGUAGAGAUCUGGAGGAAUACCGAUGGCGAAGGCAGCCAUCUGGCCUAAUACUGACGCUGAGGUACGAAAGCAUGGGGAGCAAACAGGAUUAGAUACCCCCGUAGUCCCUGUCUCUUAUAC
Molecule: ribosomal RNA, 302 nt
Filed under: uncultured bacterium
Lineage: Bacteria
Description: partial 16S ribosomal RNA
Rfam family: Bacterial small subunit ribosomal RNA
Source: RNAcentral